Molecule: ribosomal RNA, 372 nt
Filed under: uncultured organism
Description: bacterial SSU rRNA
Rfam family: Bacterial small subunit ribosomal RNA
Source: RNAcentral
CAGAGACUGCAAGCGUUAUUCGGAUUCACUGGGCGUAAAGGGUGCGCAGGCGGCCGAGUGUGUGAGGCGUGAAAGCCUGGAGCUUAACUCCAGAAUUGCACCUCAAACUACACGGCUAGAGCAUUGGAGAGGGUAGCAGAAUUCAUGGUGUAGCAGUGAAAUGCGUAGAUAUCAUGAGGAAUACCAGAGGCGAAGGCGGCUACCUGGACAAUUGCUGACGCUCAGGCACGAAAGCGUGGGGAGCAAAAGGGAUUAGAUACCCCUGUAGUCCACGCCCUAAACGGUGCACACUAGGUCUUGGCGGAUUCGACCCCACCAGGGCCCAAGCUAACGCGUUAAGUGUGCCGCCUGAGGACUACGGUCGCAAGACUA